This 475-nucleotide ribosomal RNA is filed under the name Veillonella dispar. RNAcentral's name for it is "bacterial SSU rRNA". It matches the Rfam family "Bacterial small subunit ribosomal RNA", at positions 28 to 472 of the family's 1533-position model. Lineage: Bacteria; Bacillati; Bacillota; Negativicutes; Veillonellales; Veillonellaceae. The record is from RNAcentral.
GACGAACGCGGGCGGCGUGCUUAACACAUGCAAGUCGAACGAAGAGCGAUGGAAGCUUGCUUCUAUCAAUCUUAGUGGCGAACGGGUGAGUAACGCGUAAUCAACCUGCCCUUCAGAGGGGGACAACAGUUGGAAACGACUGCUAAUACCGCAUACGAUCUAACCUUGGCAUCGAGGAUGGAUGAAAGGUGGCCUCUAUUUAUAAGCUAUCACUGAAGGAGGGGAUUGCGUCUGAUUAGCUAGUUGGAGGGGUAACGGCCCACCAAGGCGAUGAUCAGUAGCCGGUCUGAGAGGAUGAACGGCCACAUUGGGACUGAGACACGGCCCAGACUCCUACGGGAGGCAGCAGUGGGGAAUCUUCCGCAAUGGACGAAAGUCUGACGGAGCAACGCCGCGUGAGUGAUGACGGCCUUCGGGUUGUAAAGCUCUGUUAAUCGGGACGAAAGGCCUUCUUGCGAACAGUUAGAAGGAUUGA